Molecule: unclassified non-coding RNA, 337 nt
Filed under: soil metagenome
Description: partial contains 5.8S ribosomal RNA, internal transcribed spacer 2, and large subunit ribosomal RNA
Rfam family: 5.8S ribosomal RNA (bases 1-120)
Source: RNAcentral
GAUGAAGAACGUAGCGAAAUGCGAUAAGUAAUGUGAAUUGCAGAAUUCAGUGAAUCAUCGAAUCUUUGAACGCACAUUGCGCCCCUUAGUAUUCCGAGGGGCAUGCCUGUUCGAGCGUCAUUACACCACUCAAGCUAUGCUUGGUAUUGGGCGUCGUCCUUAGUUGGGCGCGCCUUAAAGACCUCGGCGAGGCCACUCCGGCUUUAGGCGUAGUAGAAUUUAUUCGAACGUCUGUCAAAGGAGAGGAACUCUGCCGACUGAAACCUUUAUUUUUCUAGGUUGACCUCGGAUCAGGUAGGGAUACCCGCUGAACUUAAGCAUAUCAAUAAGCGGAGGA